Molecule: ribosomal RNA, 253 nt
Filed under: uncultured bacterium
Lineage: Bacteria
Description: partial 16S ribosomal RNA
Rfam family: Bacterial small subunit ribosomal RNA
Source: RNAcentral
GACGGAGGUGGCGAGCGUUGUUCGGAAUCACUGGGCUUAAAGGGCACGCAGGCGGCUUGGUGUGUCCGGUGUGAAAUCCCUCGGCUCAACCGAGGAACUGCGCCGGAAACUGCCAAGCUUGAGGAUCGGAGAGGUGAGUGGAACUCCAGGUGUAGCGGUGAAAUGCGUAGAUAUCUGGAGGAACGCCGGAGGCGAAAGCGACUCACUGGACGGUUCCUGACGCUGAGGUGCGAAAGCCAGGGGAGCGAACGGG